RNAcentral lists this long non-coding RNA (862 nucleotides) under Anas platyrhynchos platyrhynchos (common mallard). RNAcentral's name for it is "lncRNA (ENSAPLG00000019875.1)". Lineage: Eukaryota; Metazoa; Chordata; Aves; Anseriformes; Anatidae. The record is from RNAcentral.
UUUUGGGGAACCUAAAAAAAUUUUGGGACCUCCAAAAAAAUUUUGGGGACCUCCAAAAAGACCCCGGGGACCUCCAUAAAGACCUUGGGGACCUCAAAAAAAUUUUGGGGACCUCCAAAAAAAAUUUAGGGACCUCCAAAAAAUUUUGGGGACCUCCAAAAAAUUUGGGGACCCCCAGGAGAAUUUUUGGGACCUCCAGAAGGUGUCAAGGCCAAUUUUGGGUGACAAGGACGAGGCCGAGGACCUCCAAAAAAUUUUGGGGACCUCCAAAAACUUUUGGGGACCUCCAAAAAAUUUGGGGGACCUCUUUGGGGACCUUGGUGGCCUCCAGAAGGUGUCGAGGCCGAUUUUGGGUGACAAAAAGGAGGCCGAGGACCUCCAAAAAAUUUUGGGGACCUCCAAAAAAUUUAGGGACCUCCAAAAAAUUUUGGGACCUCCAAAAAAUUUUGGGGACCUCCUUGGUGGCCUCCAGAAGGUGUCGAGGCCAAAUUUUGGGUGACAAAAAGGAGGCCAAGGACUUCCAAAAAAUUUGGGGGACCUCCAAAAAAAUUUGGGGACCUCCAAAAAAUUUUGGGGCCUCCAAAAAAUUUCGGGGACCUCCAAAAAAAUUUAGGGACCUCAAAAAAAUUUUGGGGACCUCCAAAAAGACCCCGGGGACCUCCAUAAAGACCUUGGGGACCUCCAAAAAAUUUUGGGGACCUCGAAAAAAUUUUGGGGGACCUCCAAAAAAUUUUGGGAACCUAAAAAAAUUUUGGGGACCUCCAAAAAAUUUUGGGGACCUCCAAAAAGACCUCGGUGGCCUCCCCGGGCGAGCGGAGGCCCGAAAAGGAGGCCCCACGUUUUUGGGGUGAAAAACGCGGUU